Molecule: small nuclear RNA, 62 nt
Filed under: Camelus dromedarius (Arabian camel)
Lineage: Eukaryota; Metazoa; Chordata; Mammalia; Artiodactyla; Camelidae
Description: U7 small nuclear RNA (ENSCDRG00005020215.1)
Rfam family: U7 small nuclear RNA
About the family: Animal histone pre-mRNAs are spliced by a different mechanism than nuclear pre-mRNAs and self-splicing introns.
Source: Rfam by way of RNAcentral
GAGUGUUACGGCUCUUUUAGAAUUCGUCUAGCACAUUUUCCGGUCCACAAUGGAAAGCCCCC